RNAcentral lists this ribosomal RNA (253 nucleotides) under uncultured bacterium. RNAcentral describes it as "partial 16S ribosomal RNA". It matches the Rfam family "Bacterial small subunit ribosomal RNA", at positions 524 to 776 of the family's 1533-position model. The record is from RNAcentral.
UACGGGGGGGGCAAGCGUUGUUCGGAAUUACUGGGCGUAAAGGGCGCGUAGGCGGUUCGCUAAGUUGAACGUGAAAACUCUGGGCUUAACCCAGAGCCUGCAUUCAAUACUGGCGAGCUAGAGUUCUGGAGGGGAUAGCGGAAUUCCUGGUGUAGCGGUGAAAUGCGUAGAUAUCUGGAGGAACACCGGUGGCGAAGGCGGCAUCCUGGACCAACACUGACACUGAGGAGCGAAAGCCAGGGGAGCAAGCGGG